AAAUAGAGUUUCCGUGUGGGAAACAGUUUUAAAAAGGUUUUCGAAUGGUUUUUAUGAAUGAAUGAAUUAGAGUUUAAAAACAAAAGCUUCCGUGUGGGGAGCACUUUUAAAUAGGAUGUUUGUUGUAUUGUGCAUUGCAUCAUCCAGCGCCUAAGGAGUGCUUAGAGGCAUGCAUCAUUCUAAGGAUUGUUAGCUGUAUGGAAAUGCAUAUCAUGUUUUGGUUGUUGAUUGGUAAAUGUAGGUUGUGGUUGAGAUCCUAUUGUAUAGCUGGUACGCCGUGCAAAUACAAAGGAGACUCUGUCCGAGUGGACAGAUGAACUUUGUAUUUGUAGCGGGUCUGUACGUCGCGUGGGCCAGGUUGAAAAAAAAAAAAUGACACGUUUUCCGCAACUCUGUUUUUAAAAAAAGACUUUUAAAAUCGGUCCCGGGGCGUGAAAUCCUUAGACAUGCGGUCAUAUUUGGAAUAAUUAG
RNAcentral lists this long non-coding RNA (471 nucleotides) under Ananas comosus (pineapple). Its description in RNAcentral is "long non-coding RNA (ACOM_LNC009318)". Lineage: Eukaryota; Viridiplantae; Streptophyta; Magnoliopsida; Poales; Bromeliaceae. The record is from RNAcentral.